GACGGGGGGGGCAAGCGUUGUUCGGAAUUACUGGGCGUAAAGGGCUCGUAGGCGGCCAACUAAGUCAGACGUGAAAUCCCUCGGCUUAACCGGGGAACUGCGUCUGAUACUGGAUGGCUUGAGAUUGGGAGAGGGAUGCGGAAUUCCAGGUGUAGCGGUGAAAUGCGUAGAUAUCUGGAGGAACACCGGUGGCGAAGGCGGCAUCCUGGACCGGCAUUGACGCUGAGGAGCGAAAGCUAGGGGAGCAAACGGG
RNAcentral lists this ribosomal RNA (253 nucleotides) under uncultured bacterium. RNAcentral describes it as "partial 16S ribosomal RNA". It matches the Rfam family "Bacterial small subunit ribosomal RNA", at positions 524 to 776 of the family's 1533-position model. The record is from RNAcentral.